UGGGCCUUUCUUCCUUAUUUCCUGAUAACCCCCUGCAGAAAUAGACAAACACCAAAACUCGUGGAAUUCUGUCAGAUAAAACCCUAAGUCUAGAUGUUGAUUUUAUUUGGAUCCUUUUCUUUGUUUAUUUGAUAAUUAAAUUUGAUACUUAAGGACCGUCAACAAACUCCCCCAAGCUUACCUCUUGCUCGUCCCUGAGCAAGGAUGAACUCAAGAGUUUCUACAGUGGUUUCAUUUCUUAGAAGUACACACGCAUUUAAGCAAGAUCUCAUCUCUGAGUUAAAAUAAACUGUUAAGACUUAAAACUUACUUACUUUACCUACACCAUAGGACUUGUAACCGUCACUUCUGUCUUGAGUGGUUAAAAGAUAGAACAGUCUAGUCAAGUGCCAUGUCUCUCAUUCUUGAUCAGCUAUAGCUCUGGGGUUUUUGCAGAUUUUCAAAUAAAACUCAGAAAUUCCUUGUAUGAUUCUCUCAGGUCUCUCUUUUGUGGUAUUUUUGGAUCCUUACCAAGGCAGUGAUCGUAUAUGCCUUCUCUCAAGAUAUGUGGUAUUUGUGGUAUGAAGCAUAGUGACAUUGUCUUCUCUCUCACCCUACUCUAAUAAGGCUCUAAUAUCUGGAGCUCAUAGGUGGGAGAUAAAGUAUACAUACUUACAAGACAUUUAUUGCAUAGUCAAACCAUGGAUCCAAAGAAACAAAUCAAUAAGCCAAAUCAAGAUGUGCAUGUGAAUGGUGUAUGGUGAUGAUGGUGAUAAUGGUGGUGGAAGUCUAAUUCUACUUUGCUCUUUGAGGGGAUACAUACCUUCCUUGCUUUUGAAACUUUAUGAGGAGAAUGAGAUGCUCUAUAUUUUCUUUCUCUUUCCUCUCAGGUGGGUAUCUUGUACCCCUAAUUCUACUGUCGGACACUUGUCCAUUUUUACCUCUCGUCUCACUUUUUUUUCUUUUUCUUCGAGGUUCCGGGCACUUGCCCCUUUUUAUUUCCUCGUAUAUUAUUUUUUUUCUUCUUCUUCUUUUUUUUCUCUUUUUUUUUCUUUCUAGAGCACUCAUCUCCUGAAAUAAUGUAGCAAGUGGUAGUAACCAAAAUAACUGGAGCAUUUAUUUCUCAGGGAAUAAUAGGGAUAGGAAAAUGUUUUUGGCUAUUCUCUCCCGGAUUAGGAGUAGAAUAAUUUUGGGUAAAACUGGAGAUAGAAAUGAGUGGAUAUAUGUGGAUGGUACUUCCGGAGUAGAAGUAGCAUGUAUGAGUGAACGUGCAAGUGAAUCUUGAUUUAACCACAUGACAAGCUCCUAAGGGUCUACACAGCUUGACCACACUCAAUGCUCAUAAGCAGUAAAUAGUAAAUGUGUGGCUCAAGGUCUAGCAAGCAUGUAU
RNAcentral lists this long non-coding RNA (1369 nucleotides) under Sorghum bicolor (sorghum). RNAcentral's name for it is "long non-coding RNA (SBIC_LNC008990)". The record is from RNAcentral. Lineage: Eukaryota; Viridiplantae; Streptophyta; Magnoliopsida; Poales; Poaceae.